This 393-nucleotide ribosomal RNA is filed under the name uncultured bacterium. RNAcentral's name for it is "partial 16S ribosomal RNA". It matches the Rfam family "Bacterial small subunit ribosomal RNA", at positions 523 to 918 of the family's 1533-position model. The record is from RNAcentral.
AUACGGAAGGUCCGGGCGUUAUCCGGAUUUAUUGGGUUUAAAGGGAGCGCAGGCGGAGAUGCAAGCGUGACGUCAAAUUUCGGGGCUCAACCCCGUCUCGCGUCGCGAACUGCGUCCCUUGGUUGCGGGAAGGGGAGGCGGAACUCGGGGUGUAGCGGGGAAAUGCGCAGAUAUCACGAAGAACUCCGAUCGCGAAGGCAGCCUUCCGGCCCGUCAACGACGCUCAUGCUCGAAGGUGCGGGUAUCAAACAGGAUUAGAUACCCUGGUAGUCCGCACAGUAAACGAUGGACACCCGCGGUUUGGCCUAUAUGGCUGAGCCGCCAAGCGAAAGCGUUAAGUGUCCCACCUGGGGAGUACGCCGGCAACGGUGAAACUCAAAUGAAUUGGCGGGG